AUUGCUCGUACGUGUUUUCCGGUGGGCUGGGGUUUAACUUGCUCCAGUCUAUACGGACUUGAACGAAGUCAUUUUCCCCCAACAUGUGGGGCUCGUUUGUCGCGUCACGAGUAGUCCAGGUUCUACGGCACGUGUGUGUCAUGCUAGCCGCACGAACAGUGUUGGAACUAGCCUUGGAGCUUUUGGUCGAGAAAUAGCUAUGUGUUAUCCUUAGCCCGUUGAAGGGCGAAAGGGAAUCCGGUCAACAUUCCGGAACCCGGCUGCGUAAACCGCUCUCUGUUGGCGUAAGCCGGCGAGCGCUUUGUUGGGGUAACCCAAGCUGUCCCGGAGACUCUGGCGGGGGGUCUGGGAAGAGUUUUCUUUUCUUUUUAAGCGUUCGUGGACCCUGGAAUUCUAUAGCAGAGAGAUAGGGUUUGGAACGCGAAAAACAUCGCAGUUGCGGCGGUGACCGGACUUCCCCCCCGGACCUUGAAAAUCUGGGUGAGAGCGACGCGGUGAUCGCGCCGGUUCGUAUCCAUAUCCGCAUCUGGUCUCCAAGGUUCAAAGCCUCUUGUCGAUAGAAUAAUGUAGGUAAGGGAAGUCGGCAAAUUGGAUCCGUAACUUCGGGACAAGGAUUGGCUCUGAGGAUCGGGGCGUGUCGGGCUUGGUCGGGAAGCGGGUCAGUGCCAACGUGCCGGGCCUGGGCGAGGGUCGUGUGUAUUCUUCGGCAGCAAUGUCGAGUGUCCCAUGAUCCGAACUCGGUCCCGUGCCACUUGGCCUCCCGCGGAUCUUCCUUGCUGCGGGUUUUCGACCAAGCAGACCAGGCUGGGCCGCUUCAGGCCCGCGUGGACGGCUCCGAAUCAAUCCCUUCGGCCGCCAUUCAACGGUCAACUCAGAACUGGCACGGACAAGGAGAAUCCGACUGCCUAAUUAAAGCAAAGCAUUGCGAGGGCUCUAGCCGAGUGCUUACGCAAUGUGAUUUCUGCCCAGUGCUCUGAAUGUCAACGUGUAGAAAUUCAAGCAAGCGCGGGUAAACGGCGGGAGUAACUAUGACUCUCUUAAGGUAGCCAAAUGCCUCGUCAUCCAAUUAGUGACGCGCAUGAAUGGAUUAACGAGAUUCUCACUGUCCCUAUCUACUAUCUAGCGAAACCACAGCCAAGGGAACGGGCUUGGAAACAUUAGCGGGGAAAGAAGACCCUGUUGAGCUUGACUCUAGUCUGGCACUGUAAGGAGACAUGAGAGGUGUAGCAUAAGUGGGAGAAGGCGUGGCUUUAUGCCUGUCCGUCGACGGUGAAAUACCACUACUUUCAUCGUUUCUUUACUUACUCGGAUAGGCGGAGAGCGUGUCCGUCGAGGGCUCAGCCCACGCGGACCGGUAUUCUCGCGCCAAGCGUCCGGGUUGCCGGCAAGCACCCGUCAGUGCUUGGGUUCGUGCGUGUCCUUAACUUGUCACCGCAAGGUGGCUGUCACUGA
This 1452-nucleotide ribosomal RNA is filed under the name Oliarus sp. 2 NS-2013. Its description in RNAcentral is "eukaryotic LSU rRNA". It matches the Rfam family "Eukaryotic large subunit ribosomal RNA", at positions 1565 to 2584 of the family's 3401-position model. The record is from RNAcentral. Lineage: Eukaryota; Metazoa; Arthropoda; Insecta; Hemiptera; Cixiidae.